Paramuricea clavata is the source of this 276-nucleotide non-coding RNA. The record is from the annotation of a GenBank genome assembly. Lineage: Eukaryota; Metazoa; Cnidaria; Anthozoa; Malacalcyonacea; Plexauridae.
AAACUUUUGAUUCGUGAUUUUGAUCAAUUUCUAUGAAAUUGGGUUCGUGAAAAAUGAAAAUUGAUUCGUGAUUCACGAAUCACGAACCGUUAUUUCGAACCCUGAUUUGUGCCAGCGGCGACGCAAAUUUUUUUUCCGUAGACAGUCGGACUCCUCAUUGAUAGUCGGACGCAUCAUUGAUCCGCGUCCAGGCCUCCGCGCGUUAUCGAUCGAUCCCUUCGUACCCUGCAUGACCCACUGGUAUACCAUAUGUCCAUCAUUCCGCGUUGUUCCAGU